GAUGAACGCUGGCGGCGUGCCUAAUACAUGCAAGUCGAGCGAACAGACGAGGAGCUUGCUCCUUUGACGUUAGCGGCGGACGGGUGAGUAACACGUGGAUAACCUACCUAUAAGACUGGGAUAACUUCGGGAAACCGGAGCUAAUACCGGAUAACAUGUUGAACCGCAUGGUUCAACAGUGAAAGACGGUCUUGCUGUCACUUAUAGAUGGAUCCGCGCCGCAUUAGCUAGUUGGUAAGGUAACGGCUUACCAAGGCAACGAUGCGUAGCCGACCUGAGAGGGUGAUCGGCCACACUGGAACUGAGACACGGUCCAGACUCCUACGGGAGGCAGCAGUAGGGAAUCUUCCGCAAUGGGCGAAAGCCUGACGGAGCAACGCCGCGUGAGUGAAGAAGGUCUUCGGAUCGUAAAACUCUGUUAUUAGGGAAGAACAAAUGUGUAAGUAACUGUGCACGUCUUGACGGUACCUAAUCAGAAAGCCACGGCUAACUACGUG
This 497-nucleotide ribosomal RNA is filed under the name uncultured bacterium. RNAcentral describes it as "partial 16S ribosomal RNA". It matches the Rfam family "Bacterial small subunit ribosomal RNA", at positions 28 to 507 of the family's 1533-position model. The record is from RNAcentral.